CCCUUAGAUGUUCUGGGCCGCACGCGUGCUACACUGAGUGGAUCAGCGGGUCAGGUUGCGCGAAAGUGUUUCCUAAUCUUGAAAUCCGCUCGUGAUGGGGAUUGACGGUUGCAAUUUUCCGUCAUGAACGAGGAAUACCUUGUAAGCGCGGGUCAUCAUCCCGCGCUGAAUACGUCCCUGCCCUUUGUACACACCGCCCGUCGCUACUACCGAUUGGAUGGCUUAGUGAGACCCUCGGACCGAUAGACUGUUGCUGCAGCAAUGUGGCGACUGGUCCGUCUGGGAAGAAGGUCAAACUUGACUGUCUAGAGGAAGUAAAAGUCGUAACA
This 329-nucleotide ribosomal RNA is filed under the name uncultured eukaryote. RNAcentral's name for it is "partial 18S ribosomal RNA". It matches the Rfam family "Eukaryotic small subunit ribosomal RNA", at positions 1470 to 1796 of the family's 1831-position model. The record is from RNAcentral.